Molecule: transfer RNA, 70 nt
Filed under: zebrafish metagenome
Also listed under: 1 other name
Rfam family: tRNA
About the family: Transfer RNA (tRNA) molecules are approximately 80 nucleotides in length. Their secondary structure includes four short double-helical elements and three loops (D, anti-codon, and T loops).
Source: RNAcentral
GGGAGUAGUUCAAUUGGUUAGAGCACUGGCUUGUCAUGUCAGAAGUUGCGGGUUCGAGUCCCGUCUCCCG